RNAcentral lists this ribosomal RNA (479 nucleotides) under uncultured bacterium. RNAcentral's name for it is "partial 16S ribosomal RNA". It matches the Rfam family "Bacterial small subunit ribosomal RNA", at positions 28 to 507 of the family's 1533-position model. The record is from RNAcentral.
GAUGAACGCUCGCGAGAGGCCUAACACAUGCAAGCCGAGCGGUAGAGUUUCUUCGGAAACUUGAGAGCGGCGCACGGGUGCGUAACACGUGUGCAACCUACCUUUAUCUGGGGGAUAGCCUUUCGAAAGGAAGAUUAAUACCCCAUAAUAUAAUGAUUGGCAUCAAUUAUUAUUGAAAACUCCGGUGGAUAGAGAUGGGCACGCGCAAGAUUAGAUAGUUGGUGAGGUAACGGCUCACCAAGUCAAUGAUCUUUAGGGGUCCUGAGAGGGAGAUCCCCCACACUGGUACUGAGACACGGACCAGACUCCUACGGGAGGCAGCAGUGAGGAAUAUUGGACAAUGGGUGAGAGCCUGAUCCAGCCAUCCCGCGUGAAGGAUGACGGUCCUAUGGAUUGUAAACUUCUUUUGUACAGGGAUAAACCUACCCUCGGGAGGGUAGCUGAAGGUACUGUACGAAUAAGCACCGGCUAACUCCGUG